UGCCAGCAGCCGCGGUAAUACGGAGGGGGUUAGCGUUGUUCGGAAUUACUGGGCGUAAAGGGCGCGUAGGCGGCUCUUUAAGUUAGGCGUGAAAGCCCCGGGCUCAACCCGGGAACUGCGCUUAAGACUGGAAGACUAGAAAACGGAAGAGGGUAGUGGAAUUCCCAGUGUAGAGGUGAAAUUCGUAGAUAUUGGGAAGAACACCUGUGGCGAAAGCGGCUACCUGGUCCGAUUUUGACGCUGAGGCGCGAAAGCGUGGGGAGCAAACAGGAUUAGAUA
Molecule: ribosomal RNA, 279 nt
Filed under: uncultured bacterium
Lineage: Bacteria
Description: partial 16S ribosomal RNA
Rfam family: Bacterial small subunit ribosomal RNA
Source: RNAcentral